AUGGGAUUGACCUUUGAUUCUCUUGGAGAAGCUUACGACUACUACAAUCUGUAUUCGUGGGAGUGCGGCUUUGGAAUAAGGUAUGGGAAGAGUCGUACAAACGUCAAAGGAGCUAAAAGCAUGCAAGAGCUACUCUGCAACUGCGGGGGCAAACCAAAGAAAGUGAACUCCAGUUCGUCAAGAACAGAGUGCCCAGCCAUGAUUAGAUUGCUUAGAACUGAAGACGACGGGUGGUACAUAUGCGAAUAUAGAGUAUCUCACAACCAUGAGAUGUUGCACACAUGCGCACAGAAACUCCACUUCCCUUCACACAGGCACAUCGACAAAUACACCAGAGAGCUGGUAUCUCAGUUGCGUCAAAAUAACGUUAAUCUUAGCAAGGUUUACAGCAUAAUCGGCACAUUUUUCGGUCGUAUUGAGAACGUCCCUUUCACCAAGAGGUGCCUGCGGACGUUGUGUGCAAAAUUGAGCAGAGACCAGGCAGAUGAAGAUGUUAAGAAAACCAUGGAUUAUUUCGCAGAACUGAAGCAGCCUGACCCUGAAUUCACUUACACGGUGCGUGUAGACAGUGAAAGUAGAGUUCGGACACUCAUAUGGACAACUGGGAAGAGGAAAUUGCAGUACCACUACUUCGGUGAUGUUGUUACAUUUGACACUAUCUACAGGACAAAUCUUUACGACAUGCCAUUCGGACUUUUUGUUGGAGUGAAUAACCAUUUCCAGAGUGUGAUAUACGCUGGUGUGCUUAUGCGUGAUGAGAAGGUUGAGAGCUUCAACUGGGUAUUUUCGGAGUUUGUCAAGCUGAUGGGAGGGAAGAAACCUAUUACAAUUCUAACUGAUCAAGCAAGAGCUAUGGAGGUCGCUAUAGAGGAGGUUUAUCCUCAAGCAACACACCGUCGGUGCAAGUGGCACGUCUUAAAGAAAGCAAAAGAGUCUCUAGGUACUUUGUACAACAAACGCAGUGAAUUCAGGGAAGAGUUUCACAAGCUAAUACAGGAUAUGCUCACGGUGGAAGUGUUUGAAAAACAA
Molecule: ribosomal RNA, 1029 nt
Filed under: Triticum aestivum (bread wheat)
Lineage: Eukaryota; Viridiplantae; Streptophyta; Magnoliopsida; Poales; Poaceae
Description: partial small subunit ribosomal RNA
Source: RNAcentral